UUACCGGCUUAAAUGUGCCUAGAGUUCUUCGGUAAGGUGCUGCAUGGUUGUCGUCAGCUCGUGCCGUGAGGUGUCAGGUUAAGUCCUAUAACGAGCGCAACCCUGUCUUAGUUGCCAGCAUAUGGGACUCUAAGAGACUGCCGGUGCAAACGAGAGGAAGGUGGGGAUGACGUCAAAUCAUCACGGCCCUUACGCCGGGCUACACACGUGCUACAAUGGUGGACAAGAGGCAGGGUGACCGGAGCAAUCUAAAACAAUCACAGUUCGGAUCGAAGUCUGCAACUCGACUUCGUGAAGCUGGAAUCGCUAGUAAUCGCAAUCAGAUGUGCGGUGAAUACGUUCCCGGGCCUUGUACACACCGCCCGUCAAGCCAUGGAAGCUGGGGACCGAA
RNAcentral lists this ribosomal RNA (391 nucleotides) under uncultured bacterium. RNAcentral describes it as "bacterial SSU rRNA". It matches the Rfam family "Bacterial small subunit ribosomal RNA", at positions 971 to 1425 of the family's 1533-position model. The record is from RNAcentral.